Long non-coding RNA from Oncorhynchus keta (chum salmon), 693 nucleotides. RefSeq lists it as uncharacterized. The record is from RefSeq and is a predicted model, not a curated record. The transcript has 3 exons. NCBI's taxonomy places the organism in Eukaryota, Metazoa, Chordata, Actinopteri, Salmoniformes, Salmonidae.
ACAAAAAAUAGAGCUAUGAUAUUACAGUUAAUACGGUUUUUAAUUCAUGUUGAGCCAUAAAGCCAUAGAUAGAUGUGAUGAGCACCACACAGCAUCGGAUUGGCAAGUGUACAGAGUGGAUGAGUGAGUGGAGGGAGGAGGGGAACACCGCUUGUUUAGGUGGAUGGGGGCAGGACAGAGGGAGGGAAGGCAGGACAGAUGAGUGGAGGGAGGAGGGGAACAUGGCUUGUUUAGGUGGAUGGGGGCAGGACAGAGGGAGGGAAGGCAGGACAGAUGAGUGGAGGGAGGAGGGGAACAUGGCUUGUUUAGGUGGAUGGGGGCAGGACAGAGGGAGGGAAGGCAGGACAGAUGAGUGGAGGGAGGAGGGGAACAUGGCUUGUUUAGGUGGAUGGGGGCAGGACAGAGGGAGGGAAGGCAGGACAGAUGAGUGGAGGGAGGAGGGGAACAUGGCUUGUUUAGGUGGAUGGGGGCAGGACAGAGGGAGGGAAGGCAGGACAGUUGAGUGGAGGGAGGAGGGGAACAUGGCUUGUUUAGGUGGAUGGGGGCAGGACAGAGGGAGGGAAGGCAGGACAGAUGAGUGGAGGGAGGAGGGGAACAUGGCUUGUUUAGGUGGAUGGGGGCAGGACAGAGGGAGGGAAGGCAGGACAGAUGAGUGGAGGGAGGAGGGGAACAUGGCUUGUUUAGGUGGAUGGG